This 492-nucleotide ribosomal RNA is filed under the name uncultured bacterium. RNAcentral describes it as "partial 16S ribosomal RNA". It matches the Rfam family "Bacterial small subunit ribosomal RNA", at positions 29 to 507 of the family's 1533-position model. The record is from RNAcentral.
AGUGAACGCUGGCGGUAGGCCUAACACAUGCAAGUCGAACGGCAGCACAGUAAGAGCUUGCUCUUACGGGUGGCGAGUGGCGGACGGGUGAGGAAUACAUCGGAAUCUACUUUUUCGUGGGGGAUAACGUAGGGAAACUUACGCUAAUACCGCAUACGACCUACGGGUGAAAGCAGGGGAUCUUCGGACCUUGCGCGAUUGAAUGAGCCGAUGUCGGAUUAGCUAGUUGGCGGGGUAAAGGCCCACCAAGGCGACGAUCCGUAGCUGGUCUGAGAGGAUGAUCAGCCACACUGGAACUGAGACACGGUCCAGACUCCUACGGGAGGAAGAAGUGGGGAAUAUUGGAAAAGGGGGGCAAGCCUGAUCCAGCCAUACCGCGUGGGUGAAGAAGGCCUUCGGGUUUUAAAGCCCUUUUGUUGGGAAAGAAAAGCAGCAGGUUAAUACCCCGCUGUUCUGACGGUACCCAAAGAAUAAGCACCGGCUAACUUCGUG